This is a long non-coding RNA of Dreissena polymorpha, 402 nucleotides long. RefSeq lists it as uncharacterized. The record is from RefSeq and is a predicted model, not a curated record. The transcript is spliced from 2 exons. Lineage: Eukaryota; Metazoa; Mollusca; Bivalvia; Myida; Dreissenidae.
UGUCGGUCACUGCGUCUUCCGGAAGUGGAUCCCGGCUGCGCUGUAAGACUCCCGCGUACGCUGAGCCCGGCGCACACCUGCCGUCCGGUGUCUUGUCCCAACACGAGUAUAACACCGCGUAUCUGGGCAGAGGCAAUAGAUUUGACCACGUCCUUCGUGCCAAACUUCUUCCCCGUCGGUGUGUCGAACAGGAUCUGCAUCCGCUGUGGCACGUUGUCGUCUGCUGACGUCAAAUGACCUUCACCAAUCGGACACCACAUGCCAUAAAAUUUCCCGCCAACUGAAAUGACGCGAAAGAAUUGGUUCGAUUAAACUAUUUGAUAAUACGUAAACUGAGCAUAAUAAAAAAAAGUUCUGAUUGUUUUUCAUCGAGUAUCAAGUUAUUAAAUGGAAACAAACUGA